UACGGAGGGGGCUAGCGUUGUUCGGAAUUACUGGGCGUAAAGCGCACGUAGGCGGCUUUGUAAGUUAGAGGUGAAAGCCCGGGGCUCAACCCCGGAAUUGCCUUUAAGACUGCAUCGCUUGAACACGGGAGAGGUGAGUGGAAUUCCGAGUGUAGAGGUGAAAUUCGUAGAUAUUAGGAAGAACACCGGUGGCGAAGGCGGCCCACUGGCUCGAUACUGACGCUGAGGUGCGAAAGCGUGGGGAGCAAACAGG
Molecule: ribosomal RNA, 253 nt
Filed under: uncultured bacterium
Lineage: Bacteria
Description: partial 16S ribosomal RNA
Rfam family: Bacterial small subunit ribosomal RNA
Source: RNAcentral